RNAcentral lists this ribosomal RNA (465 nucleotides) under Vreelandella stevensii. RNAcentral's name for it is "partial 16S ribosomal RNA". It matches the Rfam family "Bacterial small subunit ribosomal RNA", at positions 338 to 795 of the family's 1533-position model. Lineage: Bacteria; Pseudomonadati; Pseudomonadota; Gammaproteobacteria; Oceanospirillales; Halomonadaceae. The record is from RNAcentral.
CCUACGGGGGGCAGCAGUGGGGAAUAUUGGACAAUGGGGGCAACCCUGAUCCAGCCAUGCCGCGUGUGUGAAGAAGGCCCUCGGGUUGUAAAGCACUUUCAGUGAGGAAGAACGCCUGGUGGUUAAUACCCAUCAGGAAAGACAUCACUCACAGAAGAAGCACCGGCUAACUCCGUGCCAGCAGCCGCGGUAAUACGGAGGGUGCGAGCGUUAAUCGGAAUUACUGGGCGUAAAGCGCGCGUAGGUGGCUUGAUAAGCCGGUUGUGAAAGCCCCGGGCUCAACCUGGGAACGGCAUCCGGAACUGUCGAGCUAGAGUGCAGGAGAGGAAGGUAGAAUUCCCGGUGUAGCGGUGAAAUGCGUAGAGAUCGGGAGGAAUACCAGUGGCGAAGGCGGCCUUCUGGACUGACACUGACACUGAGGUGCGAAAGCGUGGGUAGCAAACAGGAUUAGAUAUCCUAGUAGUC